Molecule: ribosomal RNA, 429 nt
Filed under: Chloroflexota bacterium
Lineage: Bacteria; Bacillati; Chloroflexota
Description: Chloroflexi bacterium partial 16S ribosomal RNA
Rfam family: Bacterial small subunit ribosomal RNA
Source: RNAcentral
UGGGGAAUAUUGCACAAUGGGCGCAAGCCUGAUGCAGCCAUGCCGCGUGUAUGAAGAAGGCCUUCGGGUUGUAAAGUACUUUCAGCGGGGAGGAAGGGAGUAACGUUAAUACCUUUACUCAUUGACGUUACCCGCAGAAGAAGCACCGGCUAACUCCGUUCCAGCAGCCGCGGUAAUACGGAGGGUGCAAGCGUUAAUCGGAAUUACUGGGCGUAAAGCGCACGCAGGCGGUUUGUUAAGUCAGAUGUGCAUUCCCCGGGCUCAACCUGGGAACUGCAUUCGAUACUGUCAGGCUAGAGUCUUGUAGGGGGGGGUAGAAUUCCAGGUGUAGCGGUGAAAUGCGUAGAGAUCAGGAGGAAUACAGGUGGCGAAGGCGGCCCCCUGGACAAAGACUGACGCUCAGGUGCGAAAGCGUGGGGAGCAAACAGG